This 433-nucleotide ribosomal RNA is filed under the name uncultured bacterium. Its description in RNAcentral is "partial 16S ribosomal RNA". It matches the Rfam family "Bacterial small subunit ribosomal RNA", at positions 29 to 507 of the family's 1533-position model. The record is from RNAcentral.
AACGAACGCUGGCGGCAUGCCUAACACAUGCAAGUCGAACGAGACCUUCGGGUCUAGUGGCGCACGGGUGCGUAACGCGUGGGAACCUGCCCUUAGGUUCGGAAUAACUCCCCGAAAGGGGUGCUAAUACCGGAUAAUGUCUUCGGACCAAAGAUUUAUCGCCUUUGGAUGGGCCCGCGUUGGAUUAGCUAGUUGGUAGGGUAAAAGCCUACCAAGGCGACGAUCCAUAGCUGGUCUGAGAGGAUGAUCAGCCACACUGGGACUGAGACACGGCCCAGACUCCUACGGGAGGCAGCAGUGGGGAAUAUUGGACAAGGGGCGAAAGCCUGAUCCAGCAAUGCCGCGUGAGUGAUGAAUGCCUUAGGGUUGUAAAUCUCUUUUACCCGGGAUGAUAAUGACAGUACCGGGAGAAUAAGCUCCGGCUAACUCCGUG